GGUCUGUGAUGAUAGGUAAAAGGUAUGAUGCUAUACACCCCUCUACUUUUCAGAGCCUUGCUCUCCCAGGGUUCUCUCUUACAUUCCAGUCUAGCUCAAGGUGUGCUUGACUGGUUGUGAUGCUCCCUGACAUCUUAAAUGGGUAUCUAGCCUGUCCAAGUUUCUGAGAGCUUAGAGUCAUGGCAGCAAGAUGCACCCAACAAAAAUAAUGGUAAAGGAGAAUUAAUAGGCUUGAAGAGAAAGGGGCAAAGCAUGAUCUGAAGUUUUCAAUCUGAGACC
This is a non-coding RNA of Erpetoichthys calabaricus (reedfish), 279 nucleotides long. The record is from Ensembl. Lineage: Eukaryota; Metazoa; Chordata; Cladistia; Polypteriformes; Polypteridae.